This 428-nucleotide ribosomal RNA is filed under the name uncultured bacterium. RNAcentral describes it as "bacterial SSU rRNA". It matches the Rfam family "Bacterial small subunit ribosomal RNA", at positions 917 to 1344 of the family's 1533-position model. The record is from RNAcentral.
GGGCCCGCACAAGCGGUGGAUUAUGUGGUUUAAUUCGAAGCAACGCGCAGAACCUUACCUAGGCUUGAAAUCCUACGAAUACCGAGUAAUGUUGGUAGUGCCCGCAAGGGAAUGUAGUGACAGGUGCUGCAUGGCUGUCGUCAGCUCGUGUUGUGAAAUGUUGGGUUAAGUCUCGCAACGAGCGCAACCCCUAUCUUUAGUUGCCAGCAUUAAGUUGGGCACUCUAGAGAGACUGCCCGGGUUAACCGGGAGGAAGGUGGGGAUGACGUCAAGUCCUCAUGGCCCUUAUGCCUAGGGCUACACACGUAAUACAAUGGUGCAUACAAAGGGAAGCGAUCUGGUGACAGUUAGCAAAUCUCAAAAAGUGCAUCUCAGUCCGGAUUGGAGUCUGCAACUCGACUCCAUGAAGUUGGAAUCGCUAGUAAUCG